RNAcentral lists this ribosomal RNA (440 nucleotides) under uncultured Clostridia bacterium. RNAcentral's name for it is "bacterial SSU rRNA". It matches the Rfam family "Bacterial small subunit ribosomal RNA", at positions 338 to 795 of the family's 1533-position model. The record is from RNAcentral. Lineage: Bacteria; Bacillati; Bacillota; Clostridia.
CCUACGGGGGGCUGCAGUAGGGAAUUUUCCGCAAUGGGCGCAAGCCUGACGGAGCAACGCCGCGUGAAGGAAGAAGGCCUUCGGGUCGUAAACUUUUGUCUUUGGGGACGAUAAUGACGGUACCCGAGGAGGAAGCCCCGGCUAACUACGUGCCAGCAGCCGCGGUAAUACGUAGGGGGCGAGCGUUGUCCGGAAUUACUGGGCGUAAAGGGCGUGUAGGCGGCCUAAUAAGUCAGGUGUGAAAUUCCAAGGCUUAACCUUGGCGCUGCACUUGAAACUGUUGGGCUUGAGGUCAGGAGAGGGAAGCGGAAUUCCCAGUGUAGCGGUGAAAUGCGUAGAUAUUGGGAGGAACACCAGUGGCGAAGGCGGCUUCCUGGACUGCACCUGACGCUGAGGCGCGAAAGCUAGGGUAGCGAACGGGCUUAGAUACCCCAGUAGUC